This 243-nucleotide ribosomal RNA is filed under the name uncultured bacterium. RNAcentral's name for it is "partial 16S ribosomal RNA". It matches the Rfam family "Bacterial small subunit ribosomal RNA", at positions 793 to 1030 of the family's 1533-position model. The record is from RNAcentral.
GUCCUAGCCGUAAACGAUGAACACUGGGUUGAGGGGACUUCCACAUCUUCUCGGCCGUAGCGAAAGCGUUAAGUGUUCCGCCUGGGGAGUAUGGUCGCAAGGCUGAAACUCAAAGGAAUUGACGGGGGCUCACACAAGCGGUGGAGGAUGUGGCUUAAUUCGAGGAUACGCGAAGAACCUUAUCCUAGAUUUGACAUGCUUGAGAAUCCCUAAGAAAUUAGAGAGUGCCCUUCGGGGAGCUCU